Molecule: ribosomal RNA, 301 nt
Filed under: uncultured bacterium
Lineage: Bacteria
Description: partial 16S ribosomal RNA
Rfam family: Bacterial small subunit ribosomal RNA
Source: RNAcentral
CAGUCGCCGCGGGAAUACGAGGGGAGCUAGCGUUGUUCGGAAUUACUGGGCGUAAAGCGCGCGUAGGCGGCUUUUUAAGUCAGAGGUGAAAGCCCGGGGCUCAACCCCGGAAUUGCCUUUGAAACUGGAAAGCUAGAAUCUUGGAGAGGUCAGUGGAAUUCCGAGUGUAGAGGUGAAAUUCGUAGAUAUUCGGAAGAACACCAGUGGCGAAGGCGACUGACUGGACAAGUAUUGACGCCGAGGUGCGAAAGCGUGGGGAGCAAACAGGAUUAGAUACCCCGGUAGUCCCUGUCUCUUAUAC